GUCCUUUAGAGUAUAAUUAAAGGUUUAACCUGCCCACUGAAAAAUUUAAAUGGCCGCAGUAAAUUGACUGUGCAAAGGUAGCAUAAUCAAUAGUUUUUUAAUUAAAAGCUUGUAUGAAUGGUUGGACGAGAUAAAAUCUGUCUUUAAAUUAAAUAUAGAAUUUAAUUUUUAAGUUAAAAAGCUUAAAUUAAAUUAAAAGACGAGAAGACCCUAUAGAUCUUAAUAAUUAAUAAUUUAAAAAUAUAUAGGAAUAAGAUUUAUUUUAAUUUAAUAAUUAUUUUAUUGGGGUAAUAAAAAGAUUUAAUAAAUUCUUUUUUAAUAAAAACUAUAAUUUUUGAGUUGGUGAUCCAUUAUUAAUGAUUAAAAGAUUAAGUUACCUUAGGGAUAACAGCGUAAUUUUUUUAAAGAGUUCAUAUCGAUAAAAAAGUUUGCGACCUCGAUGUUGGAUUAAAAAUUAUUCUAGGUGUAGAAGUUUAGAAUUUUGGUCUGUUCGACCAUUAAAUUUUU
This 507-nucleotide ribosomal RNA is filed under the name Graptodytes atlantis. RNAcentral's name for it is "partial 16S ribosomal RNA". The stretch from base 384 to 507 matches the Rfam family "Bacterial large subunit ribosomal RNA", at positions 2473 to 2597 of the family's 2925-position model. The record is from RNAcentral. Lineage: Eukaryota; Metazoa; Arthropoda; Insecta; Coleoptera; Dytiscidae.